RNAcentral lists this ribosomal RNA (237 nucleotides) under uncultured bacterium. RNAcentral describes it as "partial 16S ribosomal RNA". It matches the Rfam family "Bacterial small subunit ribosomal RNA", at positions 96 to 334 of the family's 1533-position model. The record is from RNAcentral. RNAcentral also lists the same sequence under 2 other names.
UGGCGAACGGGUGAGUAACACGUGAGUAACCUGCCCUUGACUUUGGGAUAACUUCAGGAAACUGGGGCUAAUACCGGAUAGGAGCUCCUGCUGCAUGGUGGGGGUUGGAAAGUUUCGGCGGUUGGGGAUGGACUCGCGGCUUAUCAGCUUGUUGGUGGGGUAGUGGCUUACCAAGGCUUUGACGGGUAGCCGGCCUGAGAGGGUGACCGGCCACAUUGGGACUGAGAUACGGCCCAG